RNAcentral lists this ribosomal RNA (429 nucleotides) under Gemmatimonadota bacterium. RNAcentral describes it as "Gemmatimonadetes bacterium partial 16S ribosomal RNA". It matches the Rfam family "Bacterial small subunit ribosomal RNA", at positions 355 to 776 of the family's 1533-position model. Lineage: Bacteria; Pseudomonadati; Gemmatimonadota. The record is from RNAcentral.
UAGGGAAUCUUCGGCAAUGGACGAAAGUCUGACCGAGCAACGCCGCGUGAGUGAAGAAGGUUUUCGGAUCGUAAAACUCUGUUGUUAGAGAAGAACAAGGACGUUAGUAACUGAACGUCCCCUGACGGUAUCUAACCAGAAAGCCACGGCUAACUACGUGCCAGCAGCCGCGGUAAUACGUAGGUGGCAAGCGUUGUCCGGAUUUAUUGGGCGUAAAGCGAGCGCAGGCGGUUUCUUAAGUCUGAUGUGAAAGCCCCCGGCUCAACCGGGGAGGGUCAUUGGAAACUGGGGAACUUGAGUGCAGAAGAGGAGAGUGGAAUUCCAUGUGUAGCGGUGAAAUGCGCAGAUAUAUGAAGGAACACCAGUGGCGAAGGCGGCUCUCUGGUCUGUAACUGACGCUGAGGCUCGAAAGCGUGGGGAGCAAACAGG